AGCGGCAGCCUUGAAGUUCAACACGAAUUUCCAUCCAGUCGAAGAAUUACCUUUCCUUUACUUAUCCAGUCGACGAAUUACUUACUAUAAGAUCGUUAGAGAUGCUUAUCCAUGUCUAUCCAUAGCGAUCAUGUUUGCCGAAGAUAUAAGGUAUCUUUCUUCUCCAGCUACUAUCUAGUUUCUUCUCCUGCUACUCUAAAAUAAAUCACUUAUCUACAGAAAUGACUUAUUAUAAGCUACAUGAAUAAAUAACUUAUUCGAAGAAUUCCCGAGUGUUUAAUCAAUCCCCAGGCUACUUUUCCCAUAAGGAUCAGAUGAGACCUGUAUGUCUUGCUUUGUACUUAGUGCUCGCAGUGGCUCUGGAAUUUCAGCUAGACCUUGAGCUUUCCUUCUUUGAGCAUGCUUUCCUUCCUCGCUUUUCAC
Molecule: long non-coding RNA, 423 nt
Filed under: Oryza brachyantha (malo sina)
Lineage: Eukaryota; Viridiplantae; Streptophyta; Magnoliopsida; Poales; Poaceae
Description: long non-coding RNA (OBRA_LNC003529)
Source: RNAcentral